GGGUGAUGGGGGAAGCCUUACUUUGCUGACCGCCUUUAAAAGCUGUUUCUAACAUCGCUUAUUCAUGGUUCCUGGGAGUGAGGUCAUGACCUCAGAAUUCUUACCACCUUGGCUUGCUUAAAGGAGCUACAAACAACAACAACAACAACAAUAACAACAACAACAUAGCCUCUUUCACCUUUCUUAGAUCGAAAUGGUUUGACAGUGCUGAUAUUGGAACCUUCUCUAUUUUCCUUAUGGGAUAAUGCUCCCAAAAGCUAUUGGAGCUGGAAUUCUCUGUCUUCUGGCUGGCACCCUAGCAUCUCAAGAUGCUGUUCCUGUGUGUGGAAUGACAGGACAAUCCAUCACUCUUCAAGCAGAAGUACCAAAUGUACACGAGGAGGUCAUUCAGUGGGCACACAAUAACACAAUCAUUGCACAUUGGGAUGAAGAAGAGCAACAAACAAAAUGCCUUUUUCUAAACACGGAGUUUGACAAGCAAACGUUGUCUCUAACCAUCUCAGAUCUCAAAUCAAAUUGGAGUGGCUUUUAUGCAUUUAAAAUAAAUAAUGACGUAUGUAUCAGCUCACUGUAACUGGUGAGUCAUUGCUGAGUUUUUUUCCCCUUGUGUUGAUCAGCCAAACAGCUUUAGUCUUUAAAUGUGGUAAAAGUAAACUAUAAACAAAGCAUUGCUUUAAAAUGUAAUAGACCAACAAAAGAUGAAAUGGAUGUGCUGAAAAAAAGCUUUAUUAACACAACAGACAAUUGCAAGUCUGCCAAUCAUUUCUAUUCUCAAAUGUAUCAUUUCAAUCUAAUACACCUGAAGAGAAUAGUGAAAAAACGACAAACCACGUCAGAGAUUUAAGAAAAAGAUUAAAAAAAAAAAAAAGUCUGAACAGCAAUACACAUCAAAACAGAGGAAGGAGAUACCAUGUAUGAUUGUGACGCUUCUGUAUCAAUACCUAAAGGUCUUUACAUGAUUCCUGCAUUGGUGCUCUCACAUAAUGUGUGUUCCACCUAUGCAUAUUUUAACUAUGAUAGCACAGACUUUAAAUGAAGACAAAAUAUAGGGCAUGGGGGAGCUGCCUGGCAACGACACAUAGAAAUACAGAGCUCAUGCUUAAUGGCAUAAUGGCAGUAUUUGUGUGAGAAAACGUGUCUUUAGCAUGCAAAAAUAGAGCAUCAUAUUAAACAACAACAGCAACGGGGCACCUUUUCCCUUUUUCCAGUAAGAACUGAUCAUCUAACUUUCAUCCUACUGUAGGUAUCAUUGAUGUACUUUCAUGUAGUCUACCUAAACUACACAGAUCUGUUGUCUACUGUGAGUAACCCAAUAAAAUAUCUUACCAUGCCUCAGACAAGACUUUCUGACCAAAAGUAAUACAGUAAUUUAUAUAUUUAAAAAUCCAUCUGUUAUAUUGUGGAGGAAGCCGCUGUUGGCCCAGGUGUGGAGACCAGACUAAUGGCCAAAGGUUCAAUGUAUGACUGUCUUAUCUGGUGCCCAGGUGCCAUGACCUAGAAUUAAUCCUGCCCAGUUGCUGCCUGAUACAACAGAUUCCUUGAAACUACUGAAAGUAAGUAACUACACAGAACUACAGAUUAACAAUGAACAAUACAUUACAAUUCGAUUUCUGAAUACAAUGAAAAUUCAAAUAUGUUUUCUAACAUGAUUACGCAAUGAUUGAGCUAAGUCAAGAAUAAAAGCAUGAAGAUGUAAUACUUCUAGUAAUAAUACACAACCAAAACAAAUGCAUUCUUAAAUAAUAUGACAAAUAUAAAUAGUGCAUAGAUAAUCUAUUUACACAUCUGAGGACCUUUGAACUAUAGGGGCUAUCUCCUUAUCCGAGUGGCAAGGGGUAGGACAUUUCAUUUUUUGACCCCAGGUGGGAGUGUCACUGGAAUGGAGACCUUAUAAAGGACAUUUUCGCAUGUUUCUGGAGACCUUAUAAAGAUCCACCUUAUUGUUCUACAACUGCGCCCCUUAUAGGCCCACUCCUCACACAGACCAUUAAAAUGAUAUCAACCCCCAAUGUGCUGACACCCUCUACUCACUAAAUAGAUUUCACCCCUAAAAUGUGGCCAGGUGUGACCCCAGAAUGACCUGUGUCCAGGAGAAGGGAGAGGGGCAUGACCCCAGAAUGACCUGUGCCCAGGAGAAGGGAGAGUGAGGGGGGGUCAGGAGGCAAACAAUGUCCAUCAGCUCACACAAACGUCACAAGACAGAGGUGCAUCAGAAUAUACAAUACAAUUAAUAUUCUUGACUUAGAAUAAAUGGUGGGACUCAUUUUACGCCUCAAAUGUACAAAUAUGUUUUUGUUGUCAAUGUUACUAUUAUUAUGCUACCAAAGCUGCAAACAUUGAUUUAGACUUUGAACAAUGCCACCUGACAGUGUUUUCUGUUAAUGGCAAUAUAUUCUGUAAAAUUUCCAAUUAACACCUAGGCAUUCAUUUGCUUGAAUAACUUGCCAUGUAGACAGUGAAAACCCCACAUUAACUACAAAAACAAAAACAAAACAAAUAUCAACACCAGUCUUUUUUUGUAAACUAACAUGACGUAGAGACAUUAUUUGACUUCAAACACAGAUAGUGACAUGCUGAAGACGCUGCAUAUAGUAUGUUUUCACUGCAACUUACUAAUGGGGAGGAAAUAGACAGUACACGAGGAACUCUAGCUGCCUAAUGAUAAUAGAUAUUUACUAUGUAAAUAUUCAGGUUCCUUUGUCGUCUAACAUACCAGUGUUUGGCUUUUCUUGAUUUUCCUCACCUCCAUCAGGCUCCUUCUGCUCUCAUGACAUACAAACAACUGAUCUGCACUUCUGACACAUCAUCAUGUGAUGGAUCUUGGUUAGCUUAAG
This is a long non-coding RNA of Clupea harengus (Atlantic herring), 2834 nucleotides long. The record is from Ensembl. Lineage: Eukaryota; Metazoa; Chordata; Actinopteri; Clupeiformes; Clupeidae.